RNAcentral lists this transfer RNA (49 nucleotides) under Caligus clemensi. RNAcentral describes it as "tRNA-Arg". Lineage: Eukaryota; Metazoa; Arthropoda; Copepoda; Siphonostomatoida; Caligidae. The record is from RNAcentral.
UUUUGUUAUAAUUCAGUUUCGACCUGAUAAUAGUCUAAGACAACAAAAA